AGGAACCUAAGGGAAAUAGAAACUGAGAA
Molecule: non-coding RNA, 29 nt
Filed under: Mus musculus (house mouse)
Lineage: Eukaryota; Metazoa; Chordata; Mammalia; Rodentia; Muridae
Source: RNAcentral